UGGGGACUUGGACCUGCAUCCAUGGAAUUAUGAAUAGAUCGUUACAGGCUACAAGCUAUAAAAUAGCCUGGUUUGACUGUAUAAAACCCACUCCUCUCAUGAUGCUACACCCAUCUAUCUUCUUGCGGGAACAUGGAGAUUGGAAUAGAGCGGAUAUGAGCUACCUCAUGCUUUUGGAAAUUUUGGUUCAACUUGUGUAGAUUCCAGGUUCGGGAAUUAACAUCCAUGAGAUGAGACACCCAAACUACUGAAGGAUCAUUGUCUGUCUUGAUAUCAGGCUUAUGAGGAAACGAUUUCGAAAUCCACCUAUCUUUUUUGCAAAGAACUGAUUCCCCAUUCCCAAUAUGCCACCUGCUCCCUUUCUCAAUGAUAUUUCUUACCCAUAGCAA
RNAcentral lists this unclassified non-coding RNA (389 nucleotides) under Hevea brasiliensis (rubber tree). Lineage: Eukaryota; Viridiplantae; Streptophyta; Magnoliopsida; Malpighiales; Euphorbiaceae. The record is from RNAcentral.